This 104-nucleotide long non-coding RNA is filed under the name Capra hircus (goat). RNAcentral's name for it is "lncRNA (ENSCHIG00010000365.1)". The record is from RNAcentral. Lineage: Eukaryota; Metazoa; Chordata; Mammalia; Artiodactyla; Bovidae.
GUUCCAGGGCCAAGCCUUCAGGACAUUGCCCAGCACUGGGAACAGAAACAGUGGGCCUCCUGGCUUGAAACAAGACUUCCUUGGAACCGUGGGAGAGGAUGAAA